CGGGAAACGGUUGCUAAUACCCCGUAAGCUGAGGAGCAAAAGGGAGGGAUCCGCCCAAGGAUAGGCUUGCGUCUGAUUUAGCUGGUUGGUGAGGCAAUGGCUUACCAAGGCAACGAUCAGUAGCUGGUCUGAGAGGAUGAUCAGCCACACUGGGACUGAGACACGGCCCAG
Molecule: ribosomal RNA, 171 nt
Filed under: uncultured bacterium
Lineage: Bacteria
Description: partial 16S ribosomal RNA
Rfam family: Bacterial small subunit ribosomal RNA
Source: RNAcentral